This 275-nucleotide ribosomal RNA is filed under the name uncultured prokaryote. RNAcentral's name for it is "partial 16S ribosomal RNA". It matches the Rfam family "Bacterial small subunit ribosomal RNA", at positions 524 to 798 of the family's 1533-position model. The record is from RNAcentral.
UACGGAGGAUCCGAGCGUUGUCCGGAAUUACUAGGCGUAAAGGGCAGGCAGGCGGAUCCAUAAGUUUAUCGUUUAAGGCGUCGGCUUAACCGGCGUAGGGCGGUAGAUACUGUGGAUCUGGAAUGCGGUUGGGGAAGACAGAAUUCCUGGUGUAGCGGUGGAAUGCGCAGAGAUCAGGAGGAAUACCGAAGGCGAAGGCAGUCUUCCAAGCCGUUAUUGACGCUCAACUGCGAAGGUGUGGGUAUCAAACAGGAUUAGAUACCCGCGUAGUCCCU